Molecule: ribosomal RNA, 492 nt
Filed under: uncultured bacterium
Lineage: Bacteria
Description: partial 16S ribosomal RNA
Rfam family: Bacterial small subunit ribosomal RNA
Source: RNAcentral
AUUGAACGCUGGCGGCAUGCUUUACACAUGCAAGUCGAACGGUAACAGGCCUUCGGGUGCUGACGAGUGGCGCACGGGUGAGUAAUGCAUCGGAACGUGCCCAGAGGUGGGGGAUAACGCAGCGAAAGCUGUGCUAAUACCGCAUGUGAUCUGAGGAUGAAAGCGGGGGACCAGGCAGCAAUGUUUGGCCUCGCGCCUUUGGAGCGGCCGAUGUCAGAUUAGGUAGUUGGUGGGGUAAAGGCCUACCAAGCCGACGAUCUGUAGCUGGUCUGAGAGGACGACGAGCCACACUGGGACUGAGACACGGCCCAGACUCCUACGGGAGGCAGCAGUGGGGAAUUGUGGACAAUGGGCGCAAGCCUGAUCCAGCAAUGCCGCGUGCGGGAAGAAGGCCUUCGGGUUGUAUAACGCUUUUGUACGGAACGAAAAGGCUCUGGCUAGUACCUGGGGCUGAUGACGGUACCGGAAGAAUAAGCACCGGCUAACUACGUG